CCUACGGGAGGCAGCAGUGAGGAAUAUUGGUCAAUGGGCGGGAGCCUGAACCAGCCAAGUCGCGUGAGGGAAGACGGUCCUAUGGAUUGUAAACCUCUUUAGGCGGGGAGCAAUGCCGGGCACGUGUGCCCGGAGGGAGAGUACCCGCAGAAUAAGCAUCGGCUAACUCCGUGCCAGCAGCCGCGGUCAUACGGAGGAUGCGAGCGUUAUCCGGAUUUAUUGGGUUUAAAGGGUGCGUAGGCGGAUUUUUAAGUCAGCGGUAAAAUGUCCGGGCUCAACCCGGGCCGGCCGUUGAAACUGGGGAGCUUGAGUGGGCGAGAAGUAUGCGGAAUGAGUGGUGUAGCGGUGAAAUGAAUAGAUAUCACGCAGAACUCCGAUUGCGAAGGCAGCAUACCGGCGCCCGACUGACGCUGAGGCACGAAAGCGUGGGGAUCGAACAGGAUUAGAUACCCGGGUAGUC
RNAcentral lists this ribosomal RNA (460 nucleotides) under uncultured bacterium. RNAcentral's name for it is "partial 16S ribosomal RNA". It matches the Rfam family "Bacterial small subunit ribosomal RNA", at positions 338 to 795 of the family's 1533-position model. The record is from RNAcentral.